This 253-nucleotide ribosomal RNA is filed under the name uncultured bacterium. RNAcentral's name for it is "partial 16S ribosomal RNA". It matches the Rfam family "Bacterial small subunit ribosomal RNA", at positions 524 to 776 of the family's 1533-position model. The record is from RNAcentral.
UACGUAGGGGGCUAGCGUUGCUCGGAAUCACUGGGCGUAAAGCGCGCGUAGGCGGCUUUCUAAGUCAGGUGUGAAAUCCUGGAGCUCAACUCCAGAACUGCCUUUGAUACUGGAGAGCUAGAGUCCGGAAGAGGUGAGUGGAACUGCGAGUGUAGAGGUGAAAUUCGUAGAUAUUCGCAAGAACACCAGUGGCGAAGGCGGCUCACUGGUCCGGUACUGACGCUGAGGUGCGAAAGCGUGGGGAGCAAACAGG